RNAcentral lists this ribosomal RNA (460 nucleotides) under uncultured bacterium. RNAcentral describes it as "partial 16S ribosomal RNA". It matches the Rfam family "Bacterial small subunit ribosomal RNA", at positions 338 to 795 of the family's 1533-position model. The record is from RNAcentral.
CCUACGGGAGGCAGCAGUGAGGAAUAUUGGUCAAUGGGCGAGAGUCUGAACCAGCCAAGUCGCGUGAUGGAUGACUGCCCUAUGGGUUGUAAACUUCUUUUAUAUGGGAAUAAAAUGUUCCACGUGUGGGAUUUUGUAUGUAACAUAUGAAUAAGGAUCGGCUGACUCCGGGCCAGCAGCCGCGGGAAUACGGAGGAUCCGAGCGUUAUCCGGGUUUAUUUGGUUUAAAGGGAGCGUAGGUGGAUAUUUAAGUCAGGUGGGAAAGUUUGCGGCUCAACCGUAAAAGUGCAGUUGAAACUGGUAGUCUUGAGUGCAGGAGAGGUAGGCGGAAUGCGUGGUGUAGCGGUGAAAUGCUUAGAUAUCACGAAGAACUCCGAUUGCGAAGGCAGCUCACUGGACUGCAACUGACACUGAGGCUCGAAAGUGUGGGUAUCAAACAGGAUUAGAUACCCCAGUAGUC